This is a non-coding RNA of Polypterus senegalus (gray bichir), 1279 nucleotides long. Lineage: Eukaryota; Metazoa; Chordata; Cladistia; Polypteriformes; Polypteridae. The record is from the annotation of a RefSeq genome assembly.
CAGACAGUCCCUAUUUGUGGUGGUCCUGCAUGUGCCGUGAUGAGUGCACCUUGAAAGCUCUUGUUCUUUGUAUUCACAUUAAGCUCGUUUUUAAAUGAUUUUUCCUUUGAGCUAAUUAGCAAGCCAAGAGCGAAGUACCGUGUUUUGCCAAAAUCCAAGGAAAGUUAUGUGAAUCUAACCAAGUAGGAAGGGGAGACGUCGGUGGGAAGUCGGGAAUUUCUCGGGGUCUGAAACAAAAUGAAAGAUUAUGUGUAUAGCUGGAGAGGCCAUAAAUACAACUGGGACAAGACUGGCAAUGUGAGGCCGAAGAACUACAAGAAUGGACCAAUCAAUCAAUCAAUCAAUCAAUCAAUCAAUCAAUCGUGGCUCGCGUUGCACGUAUUCCCUCUUUACAAAGCCAGUAGCCGGCAGAGUGCACGGGACCCUCCUUGUCGCUCAGUGAGUCCCGCAGUGGCCACACCGGCCCGCCUCUUGUCGCACGCCGGGCGUGGCCGCUCAUUGCCGAGAAGUGAAAACCGAAGCGCUUAGAGCGCCACACGCAGGCUGGGGAACAUUCGUCAUUUUUACUGCAGAAUGGCGCGGACCCCCACCGCGGUGCUCUUUUGGACCCUCUUAGCAGACCUCACAGGCACCUCGGCGGCUCUCCUUUCUCUCACCAAGCCUCCAGGCAGCUUCAGUGUCUUUCCGUGCGCCUUGGACUCGCAGAGCGUCGCUAAGAACAUCAUCCACUGGUACCGGCAGAGACCGGGCCAGCCCUUGGAGUGGCUCCUGUACAUCAAGUCCAAUACCGACAGGAAAUUCGCUCCGGGGGCCGACGGCAAGUUUACGGCUAUGAAGGACAAGGACUCGUGCCUGUUGUCGGUGCUGAACUUGGACAGGAACGACGCGGCGCUCUACGCGUGCGCUUACUGGAGCUACAGCAGCACGACGCUUCGGGGAGCGCGACGGCCGCGACAUAAAGUGUUAAAUGUAGGGCGACAGCAGGGAACACAUUGGCUGCUGCGGUGACUUCGUCGUUGUCACCCCCUUUCAGUCUCGGGCGUUAUCAGUCGGGUAGGCGGACCCCCUGAAUGAAGUUUAAAUGUCAGGCAACAAACAUGAAGUGAAAGGUGACGACUAGAGAGACCACCAGAGAGCUGCGCGGAGGAUUGAAGGGUUCAGAAACAGACAGAUGUGUGCAGAGUAACAACUAGGAAGAGAAACGAGCUGUUAAUGUGACUAAGAAAUGAAAACGUCUACAGGUCAGCCCUUCACGCCCCACUCUGAAGCCCCCCGAAUG